Molecule: ribosomal RNA, 491 nt
Filed under: uncultured bacterium
Lineage: Bacteria
Description: partial 16S ribosomal RNA
Rfam family: Bacterial small subunit ribosomal RNA
Source: RNAcentral
GUGAACGCUGGCGGUAGGCUUCACACCUGCAAGUCGAACGGCAGCACAGUAAGAGCUUGCUCUUACGGGUGGCGAGUGGCGGACGGGUGAGGAAUACAUCGGAAUCUACUUUUUCGUGGGGGAUAACGUAGGGAAACUUACGCUAAUACCGCAUACGACCUACGGGUGAAAGCAGGGGAUCUUCGGACCUUGCGCGAUUGAAUGAGCCGAUGUCGGAUUAGCUAGUUGGCGGGGUAAAGGCCCACCAAGGCGACGAUCCGUAGCUGGUCUGAGAGGAUGAUCAGCCACACUGGAACUGAGACACGGUCCAGACUCCUACGGGAGGCAGCAGUGGGGAAUAUUGGACAAUGGGCGCAAGCCUGAUCCAGCCAUACCGCGUGGGUGAAGAAGGCCUUCGGGUUGUAAAGCCCUUUUGUUGGGAAAGAAAAGCAGCAGGUUAAUACCCCGCUGUUCUGACGGUACCCAAAGAAUAAGCACCGGCUAACUUCGUG